RNAcentral lists this ribosomal RNA (823 nucleotides) under uncultured Bacteroidota bacterium. Its description in RNAcentral is "bacterial SSU rRNA". It matches the Rfam family "Bacterial small subunit ribosomal RNA", at positions 53 to 867 of the family's 1533-position model. The record is from RNAcentral. Lineage: Bacteria; Pseudomonadati; Bacteroidota.
ACAUGCAAGUCGAGGGGCAGCAUAAAUUACUUGUAAUUUGAUGGCGACCGGCGAACGGGUGCGUAACGCGUAUGCAACCUACCUUUUACUAGAGAAUAGCCAAGAGAAAUUUUGAUUAAUGCUCUAUACACUUUAAGACUCACAUGAGUCUAAAAGAAAAGCUCCGGCGGUAAAAGAUGGGCAUGCGUUCUAUUAGCUUGUAGGUGAGGUAACGGCUCACCUAAGCUUCGAUAGAUAGGGGUCCUGAGAGGGAGACCCCCCACACUGGUACUGAGACACGGACCAGACUUCUACGGAAGGCAGCAGUAAGGAAUAUUGGACAAUGGAGGCAACUCUGAUCCAGCCAUGCCGCGUGAAGGAAGAAGGCCCUAUGGGUCGUAAACUUCUUUUAUACAGGAAGAAAUCUUUCCACGUGUGAAAGUUGACGGUACUGUAAGAAUAAGGAUCGGCUAACUCCGUGCCAGCAGCCGCGGUAAUACGGAGGAUCCAAGCGUUAUCCGGAAUUAUUGGGUUUAAAGGGUCCGCAGGCUGUUUGUUAAGUUAGAGGUGAAAUCCUACCGCUCAACGGUAGAACUGCCUUUAAAACUGGCAAACUUGAGUUAUUGUGAAGUAAUUAGAAUGUGUAGUGUAGCGGUGAAAUGCAUAGAUAUUACACAGAAUACCGAUUGCGAAAGCAGAUUACUAUCAAUUAACUGACGCUGAGGGACGAAAGCGUGGGUAGCGAACAGGAUUAGAUACCCUGGUAGUCCACGCCGUAAACGAUGGUCACUAGCUGUUUGAUGUACAUUGGUACAUUGAGUGGCUAAGCGAAAGUGAUAGGUGA